UAAUGGACUUAUCAGUUUAACAAUUGGGUUAAAUUUGAACCUCAACUUUUAGUGUCAAAUUUGAACCUCAGAAACAACACAUGAAAACACCAACAAUGUCCCACUCUCACUUCAAAGCAAGCAAAAGCAACCCAUGACAUAUGGAUUGAUGGGAUUUCUUAUCCUCAGUCUUUCCAACACUUUCCAUUAUCCAGAACACUCCUCAGACCAUUACCAAUGAAAGCUUAGUCACUGCUCUAACAACCACCACCAUCAAAACUCCAUGGACGCUCUCUUCGUUAACUAGUACUCCAUCUCCGGCCUCAAACACUCCCCAAACCUCACCACCACGUUCUCCUUCCCUCCCCAAUCCUUCCACCACCUUAAAUUCACCACUUACACUGGCACCUAGCCCACCACCCUCACAAUCGUCUUCGUCAUCAACGACCAACAAGGAAGCCAAUCCAUUAAAGCCUAGAACCCACUUCAUCUCUCUUACGACAAUAAAGCUGAAGAUAUCGACAAGUCGUACAAUGAGGGUGACAAAAUCAUCGAAAGCAGAGCGUUAGAGGGCAGCAAGGGAACGCAAUACUUGAUUUCCUAGAAAGACGGCUAUACGCCCAAAGCCAAGGACAUGAUGGCAGAGUACGAGAGCCUGUGAUAGACCGCUGAUAAAUCUGCUCUGAACGAGCUUAUAGCAUCUGAGAAUGACUCACGCGACGUCGUUGACGGGGACGACCGCACGGCUUCGUCUCUGGUCUCAGGUCAGAGUUGUGUGUUCGAGUUUUAGCCGAAGCAGGGGCCAACUUGGAUCACAACGAUAAUGGCAGGAGAUCGACGACUUUGCACAUGGUGGCUGGUCAAGUUUGGCCAGGUGUCAUGAAAUUAUUGGUGGAAUGGGAGCGAAUCCCAAGGUAGAGGACGAGAUAAGACGGAAGCUGCUGGAUUUGGCUAAGUAAAUACUUAAAACAAUGCCGCAGGGAAACCCGAUUCACUUCGUAAGGCAGUUGGGGUUGAAGAGUGUGAUUAUGGAGCUGGAGGGGGUAAUAUUUGAGGCGGGCUCGAGUACCCGGUGGCAAAAUGGGUGGUGGGGAAGAGAGUCGGGGAUGAGGGGAAGAUAGAGUACUUAGUGAAAUGGACGGAUAUAGAUGAGGCCACGUGGGAGCCCGAGGAGAAUGUUGAUACUGAUUUGAUUAAAGAGUUUAUGGAGGGCCAAAAUUUGAGUGGGCCGUACAAUAUGGAGUAGGGGUGGGCAAACGGGUACAGGAACCGCGGGUAGGGGCGGGUAAUUCAGGUUCGGGGUGGGUCCAAUAUUUCUAAACACAAAACGGGGCGGGGCGGUUCGGGUAUAUGAAAUUAUUGGGGCGGGGCGAGUCUUAAAAUAGAAAGGAACGGGCCCCCGGCCCGGCCCGUUUCUUUUCCUCAUCCCUAGUCUUCUCGAUCUCUCCUCCCCGACACUUUUCAUUUCACUCAUACCCGGCCCAUUUCUUUUCCUCAUCAGUCAUCCCUAGUCUUCUCGAACUCUCUUCCCCAACUCCUUUCAUUUACCUCGAGACCUCCUCCUAACUAGCUUCCAGCCUCCCACCAUCCCAGCUCUGUACCCCGCCACCAUCAUCGUCAGACCUCCAUCUCUCCUGAUUUGCUCCUGUCUUCCUCGCUGCGUCCGCCGCCAUCUCUCUCUCUCUCUCUCUCUCUCUCUCUCUCUCUCUCUGUGACGAACUCAAAGGGACGGACGAAGUCGAACAACUCGAAACGACGCCUCCUCUGUCUAAAUUAGACCCAUAUUUGCAGCGCACGACUCUGCUCAAAGUCCUUUUCAGUUUUAAGGUAGUCCGAGAGCAGAGAGGGAUGCAGUCCGAGACGGAGCAGGUGCCACCAGAGUCGGAAAGCAUGGAGGUUUUGCUUGUGAGGAUGUUGGCCAUGGUGAGAAACGUGGCGGUGCCGGUGCGGGGCUCAGUGGAGAAGCUGUGGUGCGACGACGAAGGCAGCAUGGCGGUGGUUUUGGAGUCCUUUCCGUUUCGCAAAAAAAAAAAAAAAAAAAAAAAAAAAAACCAAGGACCGGUGGACCCGGCCCGGACCGACCCGUUUCAAACAGGCCGGGUUCGGUCCGAUUCCUGUAAUGAAAUAUGAUGUACUCGACUCGGCCUGGCCCGUUUCUUUUAACCUCCGGUUCCUUGAAAAUUAGGUCCGGCCCGGCUCGGCCCGGCCCGUGCCCACCCCUAAUAUGGAGGAGGCGCGGUUAGAACAAUAGGACUUUCUUUUGUUGUAUAUUUACUUGAAAGGGAAUUACAAAGGGUUCCUGAAAUUGACUCACAUUAUUAAGAUGAUUUUUAAAAUAAAAAAUUUAUCAAUGUAGACCUUGAAAGUGGGUGUUGCAAAUCAA
Non-coding RNA from Malus domestica (apple), 2362 nucleotides. The record is from RefSeq and is a predicted model, not a curated record. Lineage: Eukaryota; Viridiplantae; Streptophyta; Magnoliopsida; Rosales; Rosaceae.